Molecule: long non-coding RNA, 1614 nt
Organism: Sinocyclocheilus grahami
Lineage: Eukaryota; Metazoa; Chordata; Actinopteri; Cypriniformes; Cyprinidae
Exons: 2
Source: RefSeq, a predicted model, not a curated record
UAAUCAUAAGAAGAGGUGAGCAAUUGGCUCAACUUACUCCAGGAAUGUUGGCUCACAUUACCCACUCCUACCCAAUUUAACAAACUUGUAUCAUCCAGCAGUUUAGGGCUAACAUCUUGCUAACAGUACAGCCUUAUAUUAUAACACAUUAUAUAAGUUAUAAUAUAACUUAUAUUAUAACCCCCCCUUUCUGCACCCAGAGGUAAAAAAAUACCAAAAUACAGAUAAGACAGAAAUAGAAAAGAUUUAAUGUAUUUGUUUUAUUACAGCUAAACCGCUCUCUACAUAAACAAGUAACAUUCAUUAAGUAAACAAUGUAUCCCAAUUCAAAUAAUAAAUAAUUCAUAUAAUAUUUUGUACAAACUGGUAUUGGUUUCCUGUACAUAAUGGUUUCUCUCAUAGCGUACCAUACAGUAAAAGAAGAACUUAAGGCAGAGAGUUCAUACUUGCCAGUUACUGGUACAGCUUUAACAGACUGACUGUCUAGUGGUAUAUUUCAAGGACGUAGCAGAUCAGUGGGCACAUGAAAUGUAUGAUUUCAGUGCAAAGUCAAAUGGGAUAUUUGUGCAGAAUGCCGGCGGUCUCAAUUUUGUGUGCUAUCAUGUAACUCAGUGCAAAGGUAAAAUAUAUAAAUUAAACAAGCAUGGGUUCAUCAAUCCAAUUGUUAAUUUGCAACACUGAAGACAAAAAUCACUCUUGUAGAAAGGUUUGUGGACUCUUUUGUGUACUGGCUGACAUCAAGAGAUUAAAAGUGUGCUAACAUUCAUCCAGGCCCAACAUUAGCUGUUCCACAACCCUUUUUUUAAUGCACAAGAAUCAAUGACAAAUCAAAAACAAUAAAGCCAGAGGAUGUGCACACACAGCUGGCUUUUAUCCUUUAAACGGUUUCAUUUCAACCAAAGUUGAAUGUGACACAGCAAGUAUGAUUGUGGAAUUAAUGCCUCAGAUGUCUCAUAUAGUACAAAUAUGAGAGAAAGAGAGACAAGGACACGUAAUUAGCUACUUGUACAAUGCAAAGCAAGUGUUAAGAGCUCUUGAAAUAAUUACAAAAUGCAUGAAAGUAACGCAUGAUCAAACAUAGUAAAAAUAUAAUAUAUAGAUAAAAUAAAUAAAUUCAAUUUUAAACAGACGAAAACAGACAGCACAGAUUAUGUUGCAAUAAGGUCACCCUCCAAGCACACUUUGAAAAUCUAUAAAGCUAAAUCUCAAUUGUAGCCCACCUGAAGCCCAAACCACACAGACCUCGAGAAAAUGACAUUUCAUACAUGGCGUUCUCGACAUUUAAAAUGGAAUAACGCCAUUCACUGAAGGAAGUGGCAAGUGCGUUUAGCCAUUUUUAAACAAAGCUGUCAAUUAGCAUUCAAUAGCUGGAAUCUUGGGACCAAAUUUGGAUCUGAAGGUCUGCUGGCGUGGGAUAUUACACUUGUGUAAGAUUCCUGUCUUGAGGAAAUAAUUAUUGUCUGCACUACGGCUACUGCAACAUCACUCUGGUUAUUUUUCUGUCAUAUCUGCAGCAAACUAAAUGAGGUAUGCUAUAGUGUCUGAUACCCUCAGCGCUGUUUUUGCGAACCACACCUCAUCUUUUGAGGUUUAGUUCAGACAAACAACAUCAAA